CAGGGAAUAGUUUAAGAAGAAUUU
Molecule: transfer RNA, 24 nt
Filed under: Mammuthus primigenius (woolly mammoth)
Lineage: Eukaryota; Metazoa; Chordata; Mammalia; Proboscidea; Elephantidae
Also listed under: 1 other name
Description: partial tRNA-Pro
Source: RNAcentral